RNAcentral lists this ribosomal RNA (193 nucleotides) under Ostrea chilensis. RNAcentral describes it as "partial 18S ribosomal RNA". It matches the Rfam family "Eukaryotic small subunit ribosomal RNA", at positions 734 to 916 of the family's 1831-position model. Lineage: Eukaryota; Metazoa; Mollusca; Bivalvia; Ostreida; Ostreidae. The record is from RNAcentral.
UAUUGUGAGGUCGUGGAGUUCAAAACUUUUACUUUGAGAAAAUUAGAGUGUUUCAAGCAGGCUUACCGCCUUGAAUACUACAGCAUGGAAUAAUACUAUAGGACUUUGGUUCUAUUUUAUUGGUUUCUAGGACUAAAGUAAUGAUUAAUAGGGAUAGUUGGGGGCAUUCGUAUUUGUACUGUCAGAGGUGAAA